AGCAUUAAAAGGACAGAACUGUUGAUGCUUGUAAUAAUAAUGUAUUGACAUAGGGUGGACAUGGAAACAUAAUGUUCUCUUCAAAAGUGUUUGAUACCAGAGUAAUAAUACAUAAGCAUCAUUGUCCCACAGAGCCACCACAUUUGGUGAAACUUGAAAAAUUAUAGAUCUGUUGGUGACCUUUUUUCAAAAUUUUGUGCGAAACUACACUAAGA
RNAcentral lists this long non-coding RNA (215 nucleotides) under Panax ginseng (ginseng). RNAcentral's name for it is "long non-coding RNA (PGIN_LNC015507)". Lineage: Eukaryota; Viridiplantae; Streptophyta; Magnoliopsida; Apiales; Araliaceae. The record is from RNAcentral.